This 1055-nucleotide long non-coding RNA is filed under the name Setaria viridis. RNAcentral's name for it is "long non-coding RNA (SVIR_LNC007956)". Lineage: Eukaryota; Viridiplantae; Streptophyta; Magnoliopsida; Poales; Poaceae. The record is from RNAcentral.
GCAUGGGGAUGCUAGCGAACAACGGUGCCGGAGAAACCAAAGGCGUGAAACCCACCCUUGGUGUUGGUGGUGGAACCACCGUGGACAAUCACCAUGCCAUCCCUCGAGAUCAGUAUAGCAAUCAUGGAGGAGAUGAAGGAGGUAGUGGUAGUGAUUCAAACAACUAGUGCCCAGUUCAUGUUCUCUAAGUUCUCUAUGGUGUUGGUUUCUACAGAUUCAUGUGGCUGUUUGUGUGGGAGAGGAAGGUUAUAUUUGUGUUAAGGUACUACUCCUCAUGUGACAUAUAACACACAAAUAUGUAUCUGCAACCGUAAUUUUGGAACGUGACAAUAUAUAUACUGUUUGUAAGGAAGAGAAUGUACUGUUUCAGGAGGAUAUGUGUACAAUAUCCAGGUGUUUGUGGAUAUUAUAUUCUCCAAGUUUAUAUGUUUGUACAUACUAUUGUGAUGUUAAAAAAUAAUGUUCUCCUAAAACUUAAAUCGAAUGCUAAUUCUCAAAUUAUUGGUGUAGAUCUUAUAUUUCUGAGGCUACUAUAGAUAUGGUCAGUAGGAAAGAGAAAAUAUCAACCUUGUCAAGACAAGACAUUUGAGUGGAGUUGAAGGUGCUUGAGAUGAACAAAUCAGCAUUGUUACUGUAUAGGGACCACACAGAUAAAACUGGAGUAUAGAAAAGUAGAAUAUCAACAGAAACAUGUAUUCACAUUCGCAAAAAAAAAACAGAAACAUUUAUUCUGUUGGAAAGCCAGAGAUUAUACUUACAUACUUUAGCAGCCAGAUUUCCAAGGUGAAACAGAAAAUUUUUCCGUAAUCUAAGCAUGUUCAAUCUGAACUUACAUGCUAUUGUUCACUGAAUAAAUUAUUAUUUAAACCAAACUUGCUUUCGUAUGCAAUAAGCACACAUCUAAGUUGCAAACUCAAUAUAUUUCGGCAAAUCGCAGACGUCCUAAGCUGCAAGCACUGAUCUAAGAUGUGAAAAACCAAAUAAAUAUAUAUACAAAAGCAUGUUUUGUUACUACACAACACUUAAUCUGUGUUGACUCCAAACCCUCCCCAUGC